Long non-coding RNA from Etheostoma cragini (Arkansas darter), 898 nucleotides. RefSeq lists it as uncharacterized. The record is from RefSeq and is a predicted model, not a curated record. The transcript has 2 exons. NCBI's taxonomy places the organism in Eukaryota, Metazoa, Chordata, Actinopteri, Perciformes, Percidae.
UAGGGGGUUGGCCCACACAGAACAGUUUCCCAUCCUGCUGGUGUGACGUAGACUGAUCUUCCUGCUGUGGUUUCUCCGGUGCUUUGCCUGCUGCCUUUGCCAAAUUCACCUGUUUCAUAUAUUCCCAGGAUUCAUGCAGUUGGAAGAGAAAGAGAUGUGUUUUUUGCCUUCGGAAGAAGAUCCGUAGGCUUUUGGCUGUCUUGAUGUCAAUGGGGAGCUCAUUCCACCAUUUAGGAGCCAUUACAGCAAACAGUUGGGAUUUCAUUGAGUGAUUAGUUGUCCCUGUGAGGGGGCAGCAAGCAGGUUGGCUGAUGCAGAGCGGAGUGGGUGAGUUGGGGUAUGGGGUUUGACCAUGUCCUAUAUGUAAGCUGGGGCUUAUCUAUUCAUGGGCAUGUAUGCAAGUAGUGGUGUCUUGAAGCGGUUGCUGGAAGCAAAUGGUAGGCAGGGAAGAGGGAGGUGUAGUUUGAGACAACUUAGGGAGGUUCAAGUCAAGAUGCUGCGUUCUGAAUGAGCUGCAGGCAGACCUGCCAGGAGGGAGUUGUAGUAGUCUAGACGUGAGAUGAUCAGAGCCUGAACCAGAACCUGAACCUGAGCCACCUUCUGCGUUAGAAGGGGAUGUAUCCUUCUGAUGUUAUGCAGCAUGUAUCUGCACGACCGGGUAGAUGGCAAUGUUGGCAGUGAAGGAGAGUUGGUCAUUGAUUGUCACAGUUAGGUUUCUAGCAGUCUGGGUGGGAACGACCACAGAGUUGUCAAUUGUUAUAGUAAGGUCCUGGGUAGAAAAGCUUGGAAAAGGAGCUUAUCAAGGUUGAGUUUCAGAUGGUGUGUGGACAUCCAAGAAGAAAUGUCAGUCAGACAGGCUGGGAUAAGUGCUGCUACUUGUGUUUCUGACUCCGGAAAG